CUGGUCUCUAUAGUAUAGGUCUACCAGUAUUUUAUUUACAAUUUAUUUACAAUUGUUAAAUAUAAAAUGCUUACAAUUUAAAAUGUUAGAUAUUUAUUCGUUAAGACUGACAUUCCAUUUAUACAUGUUAGAGAGAUAUUCAAGGCUUUAGAAUGUUGGCUGACGUUCUAGAAACGUCGUGGGCUGGUCCUCUACAGACGUUGCUAGUUGGUCCCAUGGGGAACGUUGUAGGGACGUGAUCCCAUGGUCUCUACCCAGCGUACACAAGUAUGUUGUGAGGACGUCGCCAGUUGGUCGUCAUUUGGUCAGCGUGACAUUAUUUGACAACGUCGUGAGGACGUCGUGCUAACGUUCCAUUUUUCAGAAUUUUGGCUAACGUACCAGAAACGUCCUGUGCACGUCCUCAAAAGACGUUGCUAGUUAGUCGCAUGGGAACGUUGUAGCGACGUGGUCAGCUGGUCUCCAGAUAACUUUUCCUAUUAUUGCACUACAUGUAUUUGGCCUAUCUUUUUAAGGUGUAUACCAUUUGGAUAGCCUAUAAUAAGGGAAAUAUACUGAAUUAAUCAAGCAUUUUGCAUGAUGGCAUGAAUUGUUAUAGAAAUAUAAUAAUUAUGCCGUCAUUUAAAAUGUAGAUAUAUAUUUGUUAUCAAAUUAAUGACAAAACAAAAACCAAAUAGUUUGUUAGCGAAUAUAAAUAAUUUAUGCUUGUGAAUGACAGAAGAAAUGUAUUGAAAAACGGCAUGGGACAAGUGAACAUUUAAACCAGCGCACGUCACUUUUUGAGUACUGCUUAAGUGCGCAUGCCCGUCACUUGAACGGUCAACUUCCAGCAGACGGACACGAAGGAAAAGGUCCUGACUGCCAAUGAACCAGGCAAUGAUUCACAGGUGGAGAGACAGUCUGGGCAGCACCAAGCCUACAACUAUUAUGAUUAGUAGUAGGGAUGAUUAUCGAGAACAGAAAUAACUGCAUAUCAUCCAAACCAUCUCCAAAUGAAUGGCUGCAAGGAUCCAGGAUCAAGAGAUAAUCCAUCACGAAAACUGUUUCAUAGGAAUCAGCGAAUCCUGGGCCUGCCUGACCAUUCUGUUACCCUGGAUGUGAAGACACACUGGAAGUUCAUAUCUCAUGGUUGAAAGAGUUGUGCAUCGAUAUCCAGACAUACAAGCAGUCUUCCUGGACCCACACGACAAAAUGCUUAGGAGGAGAGGCAGGAUUUUUUUGAGACUAUGGAGGAUAGCUGGAUCUUGGUCUACCUGGGGGAUCUGGGGCCAUGGCCUUGUAUUCAAAGGAAAGGUGAAAAAUGAGGAAGUCUGGGAACAACUGAAGAAGGCAGCCAUGAGGGAGGGAAGUAAUCAUCAGAAUGUGCCAGAGAACGAUAUUGGCAGUACAGACUCAAGAUGGCGAAGAGGAGGAAGAACAUGUUUGACAUCAGAGUACUCGGGUACUAUGAUCCUUUGGUAAUGACAAUAUUGUUUAGGUUUUGCUUUUGAUAGUGAAGCAGUAUUGAAGUAUAUCACCAUCGGAUAUUUGUAGCAGGUGUUUCAUACACAGGACACUCAGGAAACAAAUUAACUUAAAGUAAUAAAGAAGUCACUACUGCACCAGAUUAUAGGGAGUUGUCAAUGAGUACUGAUAAUUAUUGAUAAUUUUACAGAUAAAAUUAACUAUAUCCAUCAGUAAUAAGAAACUUUUAAGUAAAAUUAAAACAAUUCAGUAAAAUUUACAUGAUUUAUGUAUUGAUGUGUUCAAUUAUCUGUGCUCAUGACUUGGUAACACUUUGCAUGGUUAAAGAAUAGGUGUAAUGUUCAAAAUGUAUUGGCUUAGUGUUUGUAGAAAUAACACUGAAUAAAUGCUUAUUAAUAAAUGAAUGCACUGUUUUUGCUCAUUUAAUGUUUAGAAUGUAAUGUUUUUGUAAUGGUUUGCAUGUAUGUAUUGAAUAUAUUCACUAAAAUCUCCUAUAACGAUUAAAAAACAUUAGAAUUAAGUGUUUUAUUUUCUUAUAGCAGAAAAUGUUUGAGUUUGUCAUUUAUAUACCGAUUUAAAGGUGGUAGGAGCACAUCCUCUGGACCAGACUAAAGGUGAGAAGUAAACAUUUAAAAUAUAAGGAACGUGGUAGUUUGGUCGUUAGGACGUAUUUGUCACG
Long non-coding RNA from Labeo rohita (rohu), 2143 nucleotides. RefSeq lists it as uncharacterized. The transcript is spliced from 8 exons. Lineage: Eukaryota; Metazoa; Chordata; Actinopteri; Cypriniformes; Cyprinidae. The record is from RefSeq and is a predicted model, not a curated record.